GCGGUGCUUANCACAUGCAAGUCGAACGAUGAUCCGGUGCUUGCGCCGGGGAUUAGUGGCGAACGGGUGAGUAACACGUGAGUAACCUGCCCUUGACUCUGGGAUAAGCCUGGGAAACUGGGUCUAAUACCGGAUAUGACUUCUCAUCGCAUGGUGGGGGGUGGAAAGCUUUUUGUGGUUUUGGAUGGACUCGCGGCCUAUCAGCUUGUUGGUGGGGUAAUGGCCUACCAAGGCGACGACGGGUAGCCGGCCUGAGAGGGUGACCGGCCACACUGGGACUGAGACACGGCCCAGACUCCUACGGGAGGCAGCAGUGGGGAAUAUUGCACAAUGGGCGAAAGCCUGAUGCAGCGACGCCGCGUGAGGGAUGACGGCCUUCGGGUUGUAAACCUCUUUCAGUAGGGAAGAAGCCCUCUUUGGGGGUGACGGUACUUGCAGAAGAAGCGCCGGCUAACUACGUGCCAGCAGCCGCGGUAAUACGUAGGGCGCAAGCGUUAUCCGGAAUUAUUGGGCGUAAAGAGCUCGUAGGCGGUUUGUCGCGUCUGCUGUGAAAGACCGGGGCUCAACUCCGGUUCUGCAGUGGGUACGGGCAGACUAGAGUGCAGUAGGGGAGACUGGAAUUCCUGGUGUAGCGGUGAAAUGCGCAGAUAUCAGGAGGAACACCGAUGGCGAAGG
RNAcentral lists this ribosomal RNA (675 nucleotides) under Arthrobacter sp. RNAcentral describes it as "bacterial SSU rRNA". It matches the Rfam family "Bacterial small subunit ribosomal RNA", at positions 42 to 721 of the family's 1533-position model. Lineage: Bacteria; Bacillati; Actinomycetota; Actinomycetes; Micrococcales; Micrococcaceae. The record is from RNAcentral.